UCCCUGGUGGUCCAGUGGUUAGGACUCUUGGCACUCGCACUGCCGGGGCCCGGGGUUCGAUCCCUGGUUGGGGAA
Non-coding RNA from Eubalaena glacialis (North Atlantic right whale), 75 nucleotides. The record is from the annotation of a RefSeq genome assembly. Lineage: Eukaryota; Metazoa; Chordata; Mammalia; Artiodactyla; Balaenidae.